Molecule: ribosomal RNA, 112 nt
Filed under: Caerostris extrusa
Lineage: Eukaryota; Metazoa; Arthropoda; Arachnida; Araneae; Araneidae
Source: RNAcentral
AACGGUCAUACCAUGCUGGCGAAUAUGCCGAUUUCUCGUUAGAUCACCGAAGUCAAGCAUCAUUGGGCGUGGUCAGUACUUGGGUGACCCCCUGGGAACACCGCGUGCCGUU